RNAcentral lists this ribosomal RNA (489 nucleotides) under uncultured bacterium. Its description in RNAcentral is "partial 16S ribosomal RNA". It matches the Rfam family "Bacterial small subunit ribosomal RNA", at positions 30 to 507 of the family's 1533-position model. The record is from RNAcentral.
AUUGAACGCUGGCGGCAGGCCUAACACAUGCAAGUCGAACGGUAACAGGAAACAGCUUGCUGUUUCGCUGACGAGUGGCGGACGGGUGAGUAAUGUCUGGGAAACUGCCUGAUGGAGGGGGAUAACUACUGGAAACGGUAGCUAAUACCGCAUAACGUCGCAAGACCAAAGAGGGGGACCUUCGGGCCUCUUGCCAUCGGAUGUGCCCAGAUGGGUUAGCUAGGAGGUGGGGUAACGGCUCUCCUAGGCGACGAUCCCUAGCUGGUCUGAGAGGAUGACCAGCUACACUGGAACUGAGACACGUUCCAGACUCCUACGGGAGGCAGCAGUGGGGAAUAUUGCACAAUGGGCGCAAGCCUGAUGCAGCCAUGCCGCGUGUAUGAAGAAGGCCUUCGGGUUGUAAAGUACUUUCAGCGGGGAGGAAGGGAGUAAAGUUAAUACCGUUACUCAUUGACGUUACCCGCAGAAGAAGCACCGGCUAACUCCGUG